GUAGGGGGGCAAGCGUUGUCCGGGAAUUAUUGGGGCGUAAAGCGCGCGCAGGCGGUCUCUUAAGGUCUGAUGUGAAAGCCCACGGGCUCAACCGUGGAGGGUCAUUGGAAACUGGGAGACUUGAGUGUAGGAGAGGAAAGUGGAAUUCCACGUGUAGCGGUGAAAUGCGUAGAUAUGUGGAGGAACACCAGUGGCGAAGGCGACUUUCUGGCCUACAACUGACGCUGAGGCGCGAAAGCGUGGGGAGCAAACAGGAUUAGAUACCCUGGUAGUCCACGCUGUAAACGAUGAGUGCUAGGUGUUAGGGGUUUCGAUGCCCUUAGUGCCGAAGUUAACACAUUAAGCACUCCGCCUGGGGAGUACGGCCGCAAAGGCUG
RNAcentral lists this ribosomal RNA (377 nucleotides) under uncultured organism. Its description in RNAcentral is "partial 16S ribosomal RNA". It matches the Rfam family "Bacterial small subunit ribosomal RNA", at positions 526 to 896 of the family's 1533-position model. The record is from RNAcentral.